GGUCCCGUAACUCAGCGGUAAGAGUGCCUGUCUGUCUAACAGGAAGUCGCCAGUUCGAAUCUGGUCGGGAUCG
This 73-nucleotide transfer RNA is filed under the name Synechococcus phage S-CBWM1. It matches the Rfam family "tRNA". Rfam says of the family: Transfer RNA (tRNA) molecules are approximately 80 nucleotides in length. Their secondary structure includes four short double-helical elements and three loops (D, anti-codon, and T loops). The record is from Rfam by way of RNAcentral. Lineage: Duplodnaviria; Heunggongvirae; Uroviricota; Caudoviricetes.